UGGGGAAUUUUGGACAAUGGGCGAAAGCCUGAUCCAGCAAUGCCGCGUGUGUGAAGAAGGCCUUCGGGUUGUAAAGCACUUUUGUCCGGAAAGAAAUCCUUGGCUCUAAUACAGUCGGGGGAUGACGGUACCGGAAGAAUAAGCACCGGCUAACUACGUGCCAGCAGCCGCGGUAAUACGUAGGGUGCAAGCGUUAAUCGGAAUUACUGGGCGUAAAGCGUGCGCAGGCGGUUUGCUAAGACCGAUGUGAAAUCCCCGGGCUCAACCUGGGAACUGCAUUGGUGACUGGCAGGCUAGAGUAUGGCAGAGGGGGGUAGAAUUCCACGUGUAGCAGUGAAAUGCGUAGAGAUGUGGAGGAAUACCGAUGGCGAAGGCAGCCCCCUGGGCCAAUACUGACGCUCAUGCACGAAAGCGUGGGGAGCAAAACAGGAUUAGAUACCCUGGUAGUCCACGCCCUAAACGAUGUCAACUAGUUGUUGGGGAUUCAUUUCCUAGUAACGUAGCUAACGCGUGAAGUUGACCGCCUGGGGAGUACGGUCGCAAGAUUAAAACUUAAAGGAAUUGACGGGGUCAUAGCUGUUUCCU
RNAcentral lists this ribosomal RNA (585 nucleotides) under uncultured bacterium. RNAcentral describes it as "partial 16S ribosomal RNA". It matches the Rfam family "Bacterial small subunit ribosomal RNA", at positions 355 to 1375 of the family's 1533-position model. The record is from RNAcentral.